This 802-nucleotide long non-coding RNA is filed under the name Linum usitatissimum (flax). Its description in RNAcentral is "long non-coding RNA (LUSI_LNC002087)". The record is from RNAcentral. Lineage: Eukaryota; Viridiplantae; Streptophyta; Magnoliopsida; Malpighiales; Linaceae.
AAAAGGCAAUCCCAUCAAUUUUGUUCUCCCUAUAUAAAAAAAAUACAUCGGAUGAAAAAAAAAUAUAGAUUAAAGAUGUAAUAAUGACAAUCUCAAAAUAAUUAUAUUGCCUUUACAGGAGAUCAUAAAAAAAAAUAAUCUCGUCAAUGGUUAGAGGUGAUAUUCAAUACUCUUCAAAAAUUAUAAUAUUCGUAUUUCCAAAUAUCAUAAUAUUCAAACUCCAAAAUACAAAAAUAUAUUAAAUACCAGCCACACCAAACCACCCCAAUAUGGCCUCUCCACCGUCUCAUUACUUUUUCAUACUUUAAGUAACCUUCACCUCUAUCCAUUCGCCUAUUCUAUAUGCAGUCAAACCAAACCAAACAUUAGAUAAUAAUUGAUCUCGCUGUUUCUGACACAUCCAUAUAACCAAACCGCGGCCAUUCUCUAUUUCCUCCUCAUCCAUAUCAAUCAAGCAAGAAGAAGAAGAAGAAGAAGAAGAAGGCAGCACUCCUGGAUGAGAAUGGAGGAUGGAAAUAGCAGCGUGGUUGGUGAUGACCAGCUCUUAGAAACCAGAUCUUCAUAUGAAGAAGAUCAAGUUCAACAACAACAACAGCAAGAGGAAGAAGAAGAAGAAGAAGAAGAGUCAACAAUUACUACUCGUACAGUGAUGUCAAGGAGGAGCACCAAUUCAAUUUCUUCUUCUCCUCACCCUACAACUCCUACUACUCCAACGACCAACAAUGGCUACUUCGGCAAGCAUCGGAUGGCUGCUUCCCUCUCCAUUCUUCAACUUCAAAUCCAAUCCACCCAGGUCUCUCUC